RNAcentral lists this long non-coding RNA (445 nucleotides) under Triticum aestivum (bread wheat). Its description in RNAcentral is "long non-coding RNA (TAES_LNC025059)". The record is from RNAcentral. Lineage: Eukaryota; Viridiplantae; Streptophyta; Magnoliopsida; Poales; Poaceae.
GUGCCAUCUAUAUAUAAAACACACAUGCAUACAGUAAUAAAGAUAGCAUCACACUUCAGAGAUAGUGCAUAUACUAAUUAUGAGCAAUCCAUCAUCCAUACAUCAUUAGUCCAGGACAACUAAAAGCUAGCACAAAGAUCCAUUAUGUGUGCCUACAUGCAUACACAGGCAUACGAUACAUCAUUAGUCCAGGACAACUAAAAGCUAGCACAAAUAUCCAUUAUGUGUGCCUACAUGCACACACAGGCAUACAAGUCCAGUAACAAGACAGCCAAAAGCACAACUAUCCAUCAGGUCUACAUGCACACAUGCGUAUAGUUGUAGGUUCACAACUCAAAGUAGUACAUCAUAGACAAAAGCGCAAAAUAUACAAUCUGGUUUUAGGUGUAAACAUAUCCUAGCAGAAGAUCCUUUUAGCUCACCAAACACACCGCAUUUGUGGAUG